Molecule: unclassified non-coding RNA, 405 nt
Filed under: soil metagenome
Description: partial contains 5.8S ribosomal RNA, internal transcribed spacer 2, and large subunit ribosomal RNA
Rfam family: 5.8S ribosomal RNA (bases 1-121)
Source: RNAcentral
GAUGAAGAACGCAGCGAAAUGCGAUAAGUAAUGUGAAUUGCAGAAUUCAGUGAAUCAUCGAAUCUUUGAACGCACCUUGCGCCCUUUGGCCAUUCCGAAGGGCAUGCCUGUUUGAGUAUCAUGAACACCUCAACUCUUUAUGGUUUUCCAUGAUGAGCUUGGACUCUGGGGGUUUUGCUGGCUCACAGUCGGCUCCUCUAAAAUGAAUCAGCUUACCAGUGUUUGGUGGGUAUCAUGGGUGUAAUAACUAUCUACGCUUGUGGUUUUUCCACCAGGUAACCUUCAGCAGUGGAGGUUCGCUGGAGCUCAUAGAUGUCUCUCCUCAGUGAGGACAGCCCUUUGAAUGUUUGAUCUCAAAUCAGGUAGGACUACCCGCUGAACUUAAGCAUAUCAAUAAGCGGAGGA